RNAcentral lists this long non-coding RNA (822 nucleotides) under Homo sapiens (human). RNAcentral's name for it is "HSALNT0379221". The record is from RNAcentral. Lineage: Eukaryota; Metazoa; Chordata; Mammalia; Primates; Hominidae.
CUGGAAACAGGCAGCUGGAGUGGGAGUGGCUCCUGGGGCAGGGGAGUGGUACUCAGACCACAGGAGGGCCAGGUGACCACAGGUAUGGGCUUGGCAGGGAGAACCAGCCUGCUAGGCAGAGGGCUGUGGAGCUGAGCCCUGGAGCCCAGGGACUGAGGCAGAGAAGGGGAGGUGGGCCCCAGCAGCUGCUAGAGAGUGAAGGAGCUGGACCAAGCCCCGGGGGAGGAAGGCAUCACGGCAAGGGAAGGGUCGCAGUCACAACCACACCUCGAGAGGGAGACCUGUGGCCAAAGCCCGGGGGGGCACACACUACAGCUGUUCCCGUGCCCACUUUGGUCCUGAGAGACUCAGGGCCAGGGGUCCAGAACAGUUCAGCAUCAGGAAUGGGGCGGGGAAGGCAGAGAGGGAGAAGGGGCUGGCUCCGACCAGAGCAGAGCCCUGGGGAUAGCUUGAAUCUGCCCUCACACCCUCCGGCCUACCUCUAUGGAGCCACAGUCCACUGCUCCAGCCCCUGGGCAACCCCCCGGCCCGCCCUCCUGGGGACACAGAGGCCAUCAAGGGAUGGGCUACGGUGGCCGGUGCCCAGGCCAGACCAGGGCCGUGGGCGUGCUCAGUUAGGAUCAACUGUUGGAUGACGGGAUGGCCGCGCGGGUGAAUGCAGGGACGCGACCAGCAAGGCCCCCGUUCAAAUGGGGCAGGGGUCGGAAGCUGCUCACACACCUCUCAAAAAUGAAUUCCACCCUCCAGCCUUUGCACCUAGAACUCUUCGCAUGGCCCAGCUAGUGGCUCAGCUGUGGUGGUCGAGUCCUUUCAUUCACUCAC